RNAcentral lists this long non-coding RNA (13569 nucleotides) under Arachis ipaensis. Its description in RNAcentral is "long non-coding RNA (AIPA_LNC000515)". The record is from RNAcentral. Lineage: Eukaryota; Viridiplantae; Streptophyta; Magnoliopsida; Fabales; Fabaceae.
GUAAGCAUUCAAAACUUCACCAGCCUCGCACAUUUGCUCCACCUUUUUCUGGAGACUAACACUAUCAAAAACCCUGUCAGAACCCUGAGAAAGCCGGAAAAACAAAGAUGGGCUUCUCCCAAUCUCCAUCUCGUGCAGUAAAAGGUGUGCUUCCUCAAUUCUGCGAGCCUUGCAAAGGCCAUGCAUCAGAGCACUGAAGGUCACAACUGAAGGGAGACAUCCAAGUUUUUCCAUCUGAUUAAAUAUCUCCCGUGCCUCUCCAACCAUUCCAUUCCUACACAUGCCAUAGAUGAGAAUGGUGUAGGUGUAAGCAUUAUGAAAUUGUUCGUCCUUGGAAACCUCAAGCUGAAGAGAUCUAGCUUGGUCCAAACGACCUAUGUCACAAAAACCUUUGAUUAAUGCAUUGUAACAAUAGGCGUCUGUCAUCUAACAUCUUUGCAGCUUCACCAACCCUAUCCUCUUUGGACAAACCACGUAUCAUGAUAGCAUAUAAAGUAACAUCCGGCACAAUUCCCCUCUUAAACAUCUUGGUGUACCAUACAUAUGCCUCACUAUAUCUCUUGGCGUGAAUGAAGCUAUUUAUCAGAGAACAGUAACUUUGCAGAUUAAGAGCAAAAUCAUCUAUCCUCAACAAAGACAGCAAAGAAAGUGCUUCAUCUGUCCUUCCGUUCUUGCAAAACCCAUCAAUCAAGACAUUAUAACAGCGCAAAGUAGGCAAGCACCCAUUUUUUUUCAUAGUGUUAAACAACCUAAACGCCUCAUCAACCUUCUUCCACUGACAGAGGCCAUAAAUAAUAGCCGUAUACAUCUUAACAUCAGGCAGCACACCCUUCUUGCUCAUAUCAUCGAGCAUCUCGAGGACAGCGUUGAAGUUUUCAAUCUUACAGAAUCCACCAAUCUAGAGAGUGUACGUGUGGUCAUCUGGCAAAGAAUUAGACCUAAGCAUAACAUUAUAGAGCGAAAAAGCCAACACAAACAAGUCUUUCUUGAGCACAACCUUCAAGAUAGUGUUAUAGGCGUGAGCACUGGGCUCACAGUCGAACUUAGACAUUCUAUCAAAACACUUAAUGGCUUAUUCAACAAGACCCAUAUAGGAAUAGGUCCUUAUGAGGGCUCUAACAGAUUCAGAACUUAUGAAAAUCCCAGAUUUAUUCAGAAGCUGGAGCGCGUCCCAGUAAAGGGAGCACCACUCCUUAGUGGCGAGAGUGCAACUUACCUCGUUACGGGAAUGCUGAUCCACGAGGCUCUCGAACUUGAGCGCGACCCACACGCAAAAACGGAGAGGGAGUCCGCGGUUACGAUUAGGGAGAUCUCGCGUGACGACGACGGCGUCUGCGUCAGCGGAAGAGUGGUGCUGCAAUCGGCGAGGGAGGAACCUUGUGAGCAGUCCGGAAGCAUUGUGGAAAUGGACUCGUUUCCACAACAGCAUAGAGGGAUCGGGGUGAUGAUGGUGGCAGCGGGGUGCUAUCUUGUGGCGUUUGGGGAAGAGGGCAAUAGGUGAGACCUAAAAACAGAGUAAAGAGUAAUAAACUUAUAAGUUAUAACGAAUAUCAGAGAGGCUUUUUUAAAUCUCUUUUUGAGGGGGCCGAUAGAUGAAAAUGUCCAUAAGACUAAUUUAAUAUUACUAACCACUCAAAUAUAAAAAGAUUAUUCCUACCAAGUCAUUAUAAAAAAGAUUUUUUUUUUUUUGUGCCAAUGAAGAUAACUAGUUAUCUACAAGUGUACAACUAUCAUAAACUUCAUAAAAGAUAAUAAAUUUUAGAUAAUAGGUAAGAGAUUUUAAAUUCAAAUUUUAUUGCUAGUUUAUUCUAAGAAAAAUAAUUUUACAAUAAACUGCUAUUUUUAUAUAAUUUAAAUUAAAUAUUAAUUUUUAAUAAAUUAGACACAAAAAUUUAAAUACCAUAACCAUCACGAAAAAAAAGUUCACAAUAUUACUAUGUUCGGUGGAUAUGGCCUCGAAUUCCUUACUUUUGUGCCCCUCAUUUCAUAUAUUAUUAUAUUAUAUGCAUACAUAAACUAAUGAAUGAGCUAAUUAAUUCACCUCAUACCUUCAUGUAUUUUAUGUCCAUUUUAUAUAGUUAUACGGGCACACUCUUUGUUGAGAAAAAGGCACUCAUAAAUAGUUAAAUUAUCAUUAAUGAUUAUUUAGUGUUCUGUUAAUUUGUAAUUAUUAUACAAAUGGAAAUUUAAAAAUGGUCACUAAUUUUAAUUGCUACGUGAAUCUAAACCACACCCAAGAUUAAAAAAAAAAGUUUCAUGAUAGGUUGAUGUACAAAUGCAAUGAUAGAAUUAUGAAUUGAAUAAUAAAAUUGAAGAAAAUUACUCUUGGCUUUAUAUAGUCUUAUUUUCUUAGAUAAGGUUGAAAAAAAAUAUAUAAAAAUGAAGGUAUUAGCCGCAUAUUCUAAUUUCAAGGGGAUAUCCUUGAUGGAACAUUUUAGAUUGUUACAACAAUCACAAUCAUAUGUAAUGGUGAAUAUUAUCAUAAAUUAAGCAACUUAGGAAAAAAGAAGGAAGAAGUAACAAGAUGAAACCUUUACUACAAUUUAUUGAAACUUUUUUCAAUAUCAAAUUAUCAAUGUAAUGGCAUAGGAGUUACAUUAAUUAAUCCUAUGCAUUUUUAUCAACAUAAACAUAGAAGAUUCUCGAAACAACCUAUCUAGAUAUUACUAUUUUAUAUGAUAUAUGUAUGCAUAAGAUGUAAAUAACUUUUAAAUAUUCAUUUUAGCCAAAAUAGGAUCUAACCAUAGGUUUUUUGGAACAAGUAUAUAUGAAGUGCCUUUUGAAUAGUUAAUAUUAGUUAAAUUUUUUUAGAAGAAUUAAAAUUUAAGAUUUAAUGUUUAUNNNNNNNNNNNNNNNNNNNNNNNNNNNNNNNNNNNNNNNNNNNNNNNNNNNNNNNNNNNNNNNNNNNNNNNNNNNNNNNNNNNNNNNNNNNNNNNNNNNNNNNNNNNNNNNNNNNNNNNNNNNNNNNNNNNNNNNNNNNNNNNNNNNNNNNNNNNNNNNNNNNUUGUGGACAAAAGAGCUGAAUUCAUUGAUAUAUAUAUUAUUCUUUUAUUUUGGGGCUCUUUAUUUGUUUUAUGGUGUUAUAGGGCUCUUUAGUUUUUUACAGAGAUUUAAGGCUCUUCAUUUUAUUGUAAAUCAUACUCUAUAUUCAUAUUUUGGUAUGGGUUUUAUAUUUUCACAUCCAUUGGGCCUGGUAUAAGCCCCACCCAAUUGAUUUUUUUUUUUGCAAGUAAAAGUGAAACCGAUUGAUUUUAAUUAGUUUGUUAUGAAUUAUUAUUUGAAUUUGGUAUGUUCUUAUAGUUUUUUAAUCAAUCUAUGAGAAUUGCAGCUGACCCGCAAUAAUAAUAAGGCGAAUUCUUCGGUAUAGACAGGAAAACAAAUUUAUACAUGUUGAUUUGUGUUGUUUGAAUUUUAAAGUGACAAAUGUCUAUUGAAUAGGUAAAGUAAAUGGGACAAAUUCUGUGACUGUUUUGUACUUGCAUGAGUGGUUAUCAGGGAGGUGUUACUUUUUGAGAUUAAUAGAAAAGUUAUUAGACUAAUUAGAAAUAGUGCAAUUAGGAAGUAAUUGGGCCUAUUCACUUUAUAUUGUAUUAGGUAUUUUAUUGGGCCUAUAAAAAAAAGAAUAAUUUAAAACAACUUGAACAGACUUUUUAUAAGAUAAAAAUCAAAACACAAAUAUAAUGAUUAAUAAUAUCAAAUAAAAAAUAUUUAUCGAAAAAAAAAUAUCAAAUAAAAAUAAAUUAAUAUAGAAUAAUUAAUUAUCCUGAUAGAUUAUUGUUAUUUUAUAUGCAGUCAAUUGAAAAUAAAAAUUUAUAAAAAAUUUACUUAUAUCCCUAAUUAAGAAAAGAUGUUAAUAAUAUAAGUAUUUAUAAGUAAUUAUUUCCUGCCCUAACUAAUUCUUAUGCAAUGUUUUUUACAUAUUCUCUCAUUUAUAUAUAUAUUAUCAUAAAUUUCAAAUACAUACCGUAACAAAUUAUUAUUAAUAUAUUCGGUUAAGAUAUACAAUUUGUUAGAAUUUAUCAUUGUAGCAUAUCAUUUUUUACUUUUUUUUUCAAAUAAAUAUUAAUAAUAGAUCCUUAUUAUUCUUUCACGUUGUGAGUGAAGUUGCGAGUGAAUUAUAAUCUAUCAGGAUAAUUAAUUAUUUUAUAUUAAUUUAUUUUUGUUUAGUUUUUUAUUUGAUAUGAUUAAUCAUUAUAUAUGUGUUUUGAUUUUCAUCUUACAAAAGGCCUAAGAGAUAUUGUUUAAAUUGUUUUAAAUUAUUCUUCUUUUUAUAGGCCCAAUAAAAUACCCAACAUAAUAUAAAGUGAAUAAGCCCAACUACUUUCUAAUUGCACUAUUUCUAAUUAGUCUAAUAAGUUAUAACUUUUCUAUUAAUCUCAAAAAGUAACACCCCCUUUUUUCUGAUAACCACUCGUGCAACCAUGCAAGUACUCCUGCAACUGAAGCAGCUGCAGAAUUUGUCCCAUUUACUUUACCCAUUCAAUAAACACUUGUCACUUUAAAAUUCAAACAGCACAAUACUAUAUGUGUAGAUUUGUCCCCCUGUCUAUACCAGAGAAUUCGCCUAAUAAUAAUAAUAAUAAAAUUAUGAGAAUCAGAAUGCAAAGAGAGUAAACAUAUGCGGUGCAAUGGAGGAAGUAAAGAGAAUCACAAUUGCGAUCCACUUCUCUGCACAAAGGCAUGAAAAGUAACUGAACAUAACAACAAUGAAUAAUACACAGAAAAUGAGAGAGAACAAGCAUGAAGUGCUGACAUCUUCUUUAAUUAACAUCACAAGUUAUAUUCACCCCUUUAGUUGUAUUCUUGCACUAUAUGUGCUCAUUAUAUAUAUAUAUAUACAUCAAACAAAUUUACCGUCACUUAUUUUUUUUAGUUUUCAGUAUUUUUUAAUCUAAAAAUCCAAGAAUUAAUUUGUUGUAAUUCUGAGUUUCAUUUGAUAAUUAAUAGUUAUUAUUGACCAAUGAGUUGUUAUAUAUAAAGAUAGAAUUAAAACUUCUAACAUUUAACAAAUUUGAGUUGGUCAAGUGACUAGCUUACUUUUAGCAUUUAAAUGUAGUAAGUCCAAAUUGAAAUUUACAACAUAAGGGUAGCAGAGCAUGGAAUAUAGCAUGCCUGUUAAUUUCACAAAAAAAAUAACAGAAUAGCUCAAGAACGUGGACUUAAAAUCACAUGGCACACAUUCUAUGUAUAAGAAGCAUAACCCAACAUAUGGAAACAGAGAAGAGUGGAAGAUAGUUGAAGUCCAAUUCGAAGAAUGGUCAGCAAGAAAGACAUCAUGGUACCUUAUAAUGCUAUACCUGGAUUAAUUCAACAGGUAAUCAUGUUUAGUAAAAACUUGAUAUCAUGCACAAGGACAAACAAGAACAUCAACUUUUCAUAUUGAUUUUGCCAAUCACUGUGGACAAGUGAACAUGUGUUUAGUGAAGCUUUGCUGCAUAUCCAACUGCCACAUCUUAGCCUGAAGGUAGUUCCAGCAACUAAGUAACUAUAAACAUAUAGCUCCGACCAGGCUGAAAAAUUAUGAUAUUGACCUUUUAGAAAGAGUAAUGUUAUAUAGCAAGCCAUUCCACCCCAACCAAACUAAACACACCAUUAGAGUCAGCAUAGUGUACCUAUGAAAUAGUGGGGAAGAAAAAUUCACAUAUGAGCUUGAAGAAACUCUGUUUCCCAAUUUGGGGAAGUUCCAAACUGACCCUCAUAAGAUUUAAACUAGGAAUAAAUUAGCUUCUUAAAAAAAGAGAGAGAAAGAAACUAAGAAUAAAUUAGAAACUCAACUUAUUAUCUAAUCAAUCAUAAGAAUUCCUUUCGACAUUAUAACAACACGAAAGCUUUGUCCAUUAGCUGAGACUGGCUAGAUCAUAUGAACGGAAUAGUGCCCUAUCGCAAACUAUGCUAAUAGUCUAACCAUUUAAGUCUAAAUAAUUUUUUUAACGGUUCUUGCAUAGUAUUUCUUGGUCUCCUUUUACCUUUAGCUACUGAGCUACCCUAUAUGCACAUGAUCAAGCCACUCAUCACAAGAUAAAGAAUAAUAUCCAUCUUGAAUAGUCGGAGUUAUUCAAUCAUUUAAAAUAGUGCAUUUUAUUGCUCCUCCUUCUCCUUAGCCGUCGAAUAACGUACAUUGCUUUGUCAUACUGAUGUGAAUUCAAACAGUAUCCAUGGGACUGCAUCCUGUCAACAAGAUCAAUAGCAUAAUCCUUUUUAUCUAUCGAAAGAAGGAGACAUUUGAGGAGCUUGUUACAAAUUCUUGGCCUCAACAUGAAACUUUUUUCUAGGGUGUAGAGGAAUAUGUUUACUGCAUCAUCCAGCUUCCCUUCCUCACAGAGAAUAUCAAUCAAAUGUACACAACUUGUAGGAUUUAUAUUAAUAUUGAACUCACCAAGAACAGAAAAUAUAGCUAAUGCUUCAUCUACCUUUUUUGCCAUACAGAACCCAGUAAUUAGAAUUGUGUAUGGAGCUAAAUUAAAAUCUCUACAUUUGAAGUCCAUUUCCAGUAAGCCUCGAAUUACUUCUUUCACAUUUCCUCUGAUAAAAUGGUUCUCCAACAUGUUGAUUGAAUCAUUAUCCCACUUCAGAAGGCUUUUCAGAUAUUCAAAGUAAAUAUUGAAGGCCAUCGAGACCUUCCCCUUUUUGUUUAACCAGCUCAUAUGGGCAUUAGAAUUUGAUAAUCCAGGUUGACAACCAUGCUUCAACAUAUGUUCACGGAUCUUAAAGGCGUCAUCUUCUCUGUUAGCCCUAUAAAGUCCAUCAACAAGUGUCCCAUAAGUAAUAGAAUCAGGUGAGAUCCCCUUUAGUUGCAGCUCCUUGAAAAGCUUGAUAGCAGCGUUGAUAUUACCAGUUUUGCAAAAACCAUUGAUUAAAAUGUUGUAUGUGAUAAUGUUAGGCACAACCCCACUCCCAGCAAGUUGUUUGAGAAGCUUGUAAGCAUUCAAAACUUCACCAGCCUCGCACAUUUGCUCCACCUUUUUCUGGAGACUAACACUAUCAAGAACCCUGUCAGAACCCUGAGAAAGCCGGAAAAACAAAGAUGGGCUUCUCCCAAUCUCCAUCUCGUGCAGUAAAAGGUGUGCUUCCUCAAUUCUGCGAGCCUUGCAAAGGCCAUGCAUCAGAGCACUGAAGGUCACAACUGAAGGGAGACAUCCAAGUUUUUCCAUUUGAUUAAAUAUCUCCCGUGCCUCUCCAACCAUUCCAUUCCUACACAUGCCACAGAUGAGAAUGGUGUAGGUGUAAGCAUUAUGAAACUGUUCGUCCUUGGAAACCUCAAGCUGAAGAGAUCUAGCUUGGUCCAAACGACCUAUGUCACAAAAACCUUUGAUUAAUGCAUUGUAACAAUAGGCGUCUGGUACUAAACCCAUCCCAAUCAUCUCAUCUAACAUCUUUGCAGCUUCACCAACCCUACCCUCUUCGGACAAACCACGUAUCAUGAUAGCAUAUAAAGUAACAUCCGGCACAAUUCCCCUCUUAAACAUCUUGGUGUACCAUACAUAUGCCUCACUAUAUCUCUUGGCGUGAAUGAAGCUAUUUAUCAAAGAACGGUAACUCUGCAGAUUAAGAGCAAAACCAUCUAUCCUCAACAAAGACAGCAAAGAAAGCGCUUCAUCUGUCCUCCCGUUCUUGCAAAACCCAUCAAUCAAGACAUUAUAACAGCGCAAAGUAGGCAAGCACCCAUUUUCUUUCAUAGUGUUAAACAACCUAAACGCCUCAUCAACCUUCUUCCACUGACAGAGGCCAUAAAUAAUAGCCGUAUACGUCUUAACAUCAGGCAGCACACCCCUCUUGCUCAUAUCAUCGAGCAUCUCGAGGGCAGCAUUGAAGUUUCCAAUCUUACAGAAUCCACCAAUCAAGAGAGUGUACGUGUGGUCAUCUGGCAAAGAAUUAGACCUAAGCAUAACAUUAUAGAGCGAAAAAGCCAACACAAACAAGUCUUUCUUGAGCACAACCUUCAAGAUAGUGUUAUAGGCGUGAGCAUCAGGCUCACAAUCGAACUCAGACAUUCUAUCAAAACACUUAAUGGCUUCUUCAGCAAGACCCAUAUAGGAAUAGGUCCUUAUGAGGGCUCUAACAGAUUCAGAACUUAUGAAAAUCCCAGAUUUCUUCAGAAGCUGGAGCGCGUCCCAGUAAAUGGAGCACCACUCCUUAGUGGCGAGAGUGCAACUUACCUCGUUACGGGAAUGCUGAUCCACGAGGAUCUCGAACUUGAGCGCGACCCACACGCAGAAACGGAGGGGGAGUCGGCGGUUACAAUUAGGGAGAUCUCGCGUGACGACGACGGCGUCUGCGUCAGCGGAAGAGUGGUGAUGUGAUCGGCGAGGGAGGAACCUUGUGAGCAGUCCGGAAGCAUUGUGGAAAUGGACUCGUUUCCACAACAGCAUAGAGGGAUCGGGGUGAUGAUGGUGGCAGCGGGGCGCUAUCUUGUGGCGUUUGGGGAAGAGGGCAACAGGUGAGACCUAAAAAGAGAGUAAAGAGUAAUAAAUUUAUAAGUUAUAACGAAUAUCAGAGAGGCUUUUUUAAGUCUCUUUUUGGGGGGCCGAUAGAUGAAAAUGUCCAUAAGACUAAUUUAAUAUUACUAACCACUCAAACAUGAAAAGAUUAUUCCUACCAAGUCAUUAUAAAAAAGAUUUUUUUUCAACUACCAUAAACUUCAUAAAAGAUAAUAAAUUUUAGAUAGUAGGUAAGAGAUUUUAAAUUCAAAUUAUAUUGCUAGUUUAUUCUAAGAAAAAUAAUUUUACAAUAAACUGCUAUUUUUAUAUAAUUUAAAUUAAAUAUUAAUUUUUAAUAAAUUAGACACAAAAAUUUAAAUACCAUAACCAUCACGAAAAAAAAGUUCACAAUAUUACUAUGUUCGGUGGAUAUGGCCUCGGAUUCCUUACUUUUGUGCCCCUCAUUUCAUAUAUUAUUAUAUUAUAUGCAUACAUAAACUAAUGAAUGAGCUAAUUAAUUCGCCUCAUACCUUCAUGUAUUUUAUGUCCAUUUUAUAUGUGUUUUACGUGCUCGAUAAAGUUAUACGGGCACACUCUUUGUUGAGAAAAAGGCACUCAUAAAUAGUUAAAUUAUCAUUAAUAAUUAUUUAGUGUUCUGUUAAUUUGUAAUUAUUAUACAAAUGGAAAUUUAAAAAUGGUCACUAAUUUUAAUUACUACGUGAAUCUAAACCACACCCAAGAUUAAAAAAAAGUUUCAUGAUAGGUUGAUGUACAAAUGCAAUGAUAGAAUUAUGAAUUGAAUAAUAAAAUUGAAAUAGUGUACCUAUGAAAUAGUGGGGAAGAAAAACUCACAUAUGAGCUUGAAGAAACUCUGUUUCCCAAUUUGGGGAAGUUCCAAACUGACCCUCAUAAGAUUUAAACUAGGAAUAAAUUAGCUUCUUAAAAAAAGAGAGAGAAAGAAACUAAGAAUAAAUUAGAAACUCAACUUAUUAUCUAAUUAAUCAUAAGAAUUCCUUUCGACAUUAUAACAAUACGAAAGCUUUGUCCAUUAGGUGAGACUGGCUAGAUCAUAUGAACGGAAUAGUGCCAUAUCGCAAACUAUGCUAAUAGUCUAACCAUUUAAGUCUAAAUAAUUUUUUUAACGGUUCUUGCAUAGUAUUUCUUGGUCUCCUUUUACCUUUAGCUACUGAGCUACCCUGUAUGCACAUGAUCAAGCCACUCAUCACAAGAUUCUACCCUCUAUACAACAAUUUUGUCUCUAAGUUCAAAUCUGAGAUUCUACCAACCAUUUUGACACAAAGUUACAGAAACAUCUGAGACUAAAACAGGGGGAAGCUUGCAAGAAGGACCCUAAAUUAAGCAACAGAUACAAGGCAUAAAUAAAACCUCAUAACUGUGAACAGACAUAGUAUUCUCUCUCGGGCAUUCCAACAAACAGUUGGUGCACAAGACGAACAAUCACUUAAUAAUUUCUCAAAUUCAAUACAGAUAAAGUUGCAUUUUCACUAAAAGAUGAAUUCUCAUCAUUUAUGUUAUUUUGACCUGAGAUUGAGAUUGGACGUUGGAGAUGGAAGAGUAGAUGUUUCUUCGCUGCUCCAGAACCACCGCGCCGGUCAAUACCACUCCCAGUGUAGCUCCAAGUAGCCGCUCCUAUCCAUUCAUUCACACACCCCAAAAAACAAAAAGCGAUGAUUUUUUUUGUUUGAAACAACAAAACAUAAACAUAGAAAGAUAGAAUCAUGGAAUCGUAAGAGAGUUGAAUUUCAUGCUUGAAGAGGGAGUGUACCUGGGUAGUAUGCUAAUCAUCGUCUUCGCUUAUUGUUUUUCUCUGCAACAGAUUUGUCGGAGCAAUGUUUGUUCCCAAUUGCGGUCUUCCCCAACCAGAGCAAUCACCAUGCAAUUUCUCUCUUUUUGUUUCGAGAGAAGGCAUCAUCACAUCACUGCUACCCAACGACGUCGUAGUAGCUAUUACUUCUCGAUAUAUUCAUUGGGCCUCUUAACGAAGCCUUUUACUUUUUUCAAUUGCAAAUUUGCAAUAGAAGAAAAAUGAAUGAAUGCAAACUAAUCAAAUAGCAUUCAUUCAUACAACGCAGCAGAGGCCUCAUACAACGCUGCAUUUGGGUUCUAUUGUUGGUUUAAGAAUCCAUAAUAUUCAUGAUAGUAUGUGUGAGUGUGUUGUGUAUGUGUGUGAAAUAUGGGUGUAAUGUCUAGGAUUGAGGAUUGUUCUAGGAUAUUAUGCAAAGUUACAAUUUUCACAUGUAGAGUUUCUUUCACAUUGGGAGGAGUUUAAGAAUAGUCUUAAAGGGACUGUCCCUCUAUUUAAACAGUUCAUUGUUUUGUUUGUUUUAUUUUUCUUUGUUUAGUUUAUUUCAGUCACAAAAAAAAAAUAGCAUCCAAAUUAAUGUAGGGGAAGUGAGUGUUCCUAUUGAGGUAAAUCCGCAUUAACUAAAGGCCUAAAGUCAAAAGGCUUCUAAUCCCAUAUUUUGGUCAAAGCCCAACUUAACUGUUAACUCAGCUGACAGUUUGAAUAUGUGUCUUCACUCUCAACUUCACUUCACUCACUUCUGGGACCCACUUGGUGAGUCUUUGCCGCUUUGACAUAAUGCAAAUAUGCUCAUCUAAAGUUUGCUCUAAUAUUGUUCCAUGCACAAAAUCACCCUACACAAAUUUCCCUUUUCAUCGAUCCUGGGUCAUUUUCAUAUACAUUUAACUAUCUAAGUCUUCAAUAACUUCGAUAAAACACAAUUUUUGCUCUUCAACUUGUUGCAUGUCACACUCUAUUUCAUUGCACAUAAUUACGUCCACCGCAUAUUCAUCUGUGUCGUCAAACUCAUAAUCUUCUUCGCCAUCAUUAUCGCCUUCAAAAGAUACAUUAUCCCAGAAUAAAACCUUAUCUUCUUCAUGGCUGAGAUCCUCACCACUUCUAGUUUUAUCCAUAUACAAUCCACAAAGUGAAAAACCUGAUAUCAACUAAGGAACAUAUCAUCAGAACCUGAAAUUGACAGUUGAGACAAAAAUUCUAGCACAAACAAGUGCAUUAUUAUCAGAUUAUUCCAAUUAAGUACUUGUACUAGGAAGUAACUAUGACAAUGCAACCUCACAUACAGGUCCAGAUUUUCAAUAGAAAAUGGCAACAAUUUUGAUGUGAAAAAACAUAGAUGAGACGGAAGCAAAUCUGGGGCAUGAGGGCAUAUACUCAAUGGUGGAUUUCAUUCUUUUCUUUUUUUUCCUUAAAAAAUAUUUUUAAAAUGAAAACAACCGAAAAAUUUUAGGAAUACUGUAAUAUAAAGUUUAGCUUGAAGUAUCAGUACAUUUUCAAAUCAGAAGUUCAAGUAAUUACAAGGGCAAAUUAGAAAACAAUUCCAGAGAGAUUCACUGGUAUAGCAAGUUGAUCCUUAUGUUCUUAUACACUUUAACAAAGCUAGAUAUGAUUACAUAGUCAAUAACAGUGCAAGUGGUAGCAGUGAUUGCAACACAUACACAAUGAUAAAACUCACAAACUACAUAACACACUAUUAAUGGAGUAUAUUAGAGAUUGUAGAGACUGACUAUAUAAACCAAUUGUGAGAUUAACAUUCAAUUUCGGCUUAACUAUACACGCCAAGAGAGGGAAGUGAAUGCAACAUCCUGGAUAACAGGGUUUUGUCCCAAGAAGUUGUGUCUCAGAUCAAUUUUCAAGUUUGUUCCGCUAUUUAAGAUCUCACCGCUGGUUGUCGCCUGGGGUGUAAUUGUAAAUAUAUCAUAGUGAGUUGGGACCUUUUUGUAAAUAAAUUGGGCAACUCCAUCUAAUGGAGCUCUCUUGGAGAGUUCAAUCAAAUACUUUGCCUAUAAACAUAUAAUUAGAAGCAAAUUCUUUGGUAAGAUUAGGCAGAAGAGCAUAGCAUCUUUUGUACCCAAAUUCCAAAACCUAGCAAUCUGGAACAUCUAUAGUCUCCUGAGCAAAACUUAAAGUAGGAAGGAGGAGAAACAAUUAAAUGACUGAAAAGACAUUGAACAAAGCAGGGCAAGCGGUGAUGGGAAGUCACUUGUAGUAACUCUCAAUCACUAGCAUGUUCAUACAAUCUAAUUUUCACUCUCAGGUAUUCUAAAUUUGAAGAAAAUCCUAUUAGUUUAUGGUACACACUCUUAAACAUCACAUCAGAUUAUGGGAAAGUGAACCACAAAGAUAUUAAAAAAAGUGAAGAAAAUGAAGUACAGGUGGAAUCCUCCAUUUGAGAUACAAAGACGAGCCUGAGAAAGUCUCAAGUGCCUCAAAUGAACCUCCAAAACAUUCAGUCUUCUCUCAAACACUUUUCCUCAGCUUCCUUAGUCUUCUGGGAAGAAGUUAGGUUAGGUUAGGUUAGGCAUGCACCAAUGUUGACUUUAUACCUACUAAGGGGCAUUUUACUAAUCAUUAAACUUGAGAACAGAUUUUUCUGUUUAUGCAUUGUUGUUCUAGAGUGUGUUUAUGCUGUACUUGAGCACAUUGUCAAAAUUUUACCAUGCUCGAGCACACUCACAACGUAGCUAGGCUCGGGCCUAAUGCUCAAGCCAGAUAUUGCAGCGAAUCAUUCCUAUCCCUUGUACCUGCAAAACACAGUAAAAGAAACGCAUAAAAUGCUUCAAAACUCAGCUAAAAGCUAAGUAGAAGAAAUAAGAAUUGAAUUAAACCAUGGAAUUAGAAAAUUAAAAAUAAAAUUUGCUAAUAGAAAGCCUAAAACAGACCAACUUAAAUUCAAAAAAUACAACCACAUUUGCUCCACCUUUUUCUGGAGACUAACAUUAUCAAAAACCCUGUCAGAACCCUGAGAAAGCCGGAAAAACAAAGAUGGGCUUCUCCCAAUCUCCAUCUCGUGCAGUAAAAGGCGUGCUUCCUCAAUUCUGUGAGCCUUGCAAAGGCCAUGCAUCAGAGCACUGAAGGUCACAACUGAAGGGAGACAUCCAAGUUUUUCCAUCUGAUUAAAUAUCUUCCGUGCCUCUCCAACCAUUCCAUUCCUACACAUGCAACAGAUGAGAAUGGUGUAGGUGUAAGCAUUAUGAAACUGUUCGUCCUUGGAAACCUCAAGCUGAAGAGAUCUAGCUUGGUCCAAACGACCUAUGUCACAAAAACCUUUGAUUAAUGCAUUGUAACAAUAGGCGUCUGGUACUAAACCCAUCCCAAUCAUCUCAUCUA